Molecule: ribosomal RNA, 639 nt
Filed under: uncultured actinomycete
Lineage: Bacteria; Bacillati; Actinomycetota; Actinomycetes; Actinomycetales
Description: bacterial SSU rRNA
Rfam family: Bacterial small subunit ribosomal RNA
Source: RNAcentral
CGCGGCCUAUCAGCUUGUUGGUGAGGUAACGGCUCACCAAGGCAUCGACGGGUAGCUGGUCUGAGAGGAUGAUCAGCCACACUGGGACUGAGACACGGCCCAGACUCCUACGGGAGGCAGCAGUGGGGAAUAUUGCACAAUGGGCAAAAGCCUGAUGCAGCAACGCCGCGUGCGGGAAGAAGGCCUUAGGGUUGUAAACCGCUUUCAGCAGGGAAGAAAAUGACGGUACCUGCAGAAGAAGGUGCGGCCAACUACGUGCCAGCAGCCGCGGUGACACGUAGGCACCAAGCGUUGUCCGGAUUUAUUGGGCGUAAAGAGCUCGUAGGCGGUUCGGUAAGUCGGGUGUGAAAACUCUGGGCUCAACCCAGAGACGCCACCCGAUACUGCUGUGACUUGAGUACGGUAGGGGAGCGGGGAAUUCCUGGUGUAGCGGUGAAAUGCGCAGAUAUCAGGAGGAACACCAGUGGCGAAGGCGCCGCUCUGGGCCGUAACUGACGCUGAGGAGCGAAAGCAUGGGUAGCAAACAGGAUUAGAUACCCUGGUAGUCCAUGCCGUAAACGUUGGGCACUAGGUGUGGGUCUCAACCAACGAGAUCCGCGCCGUCGCUAACGCAUUAAGUGCCCCGCCUGGGGAGUACGG